RNAcentral lists this ribosomal RNA (253 nucleotides) under uncultured bacterium. RNAcentral's name for it is "partial 16S ribosomal RNA". It matches the Rfam family "Bacterial small subunit ribosomal RNA", at positions 524 to 776 of the family's 1533-position model. The record is from RNAcentral.
UACGAAGGGGGCUAGCGUUGUUCGGAAUUACUGGGCGUAAAGCGCACGUAGGCGGAUAUUUAAGUCAGGGGUGAAAUCCCAGAGCUCAACCCUGGAACUGCCUUUGAUACUGGGUAUCUCGAGUAUGGAAGAGGUGAGUGGAAUUCCGAGUGUAGAGGUGAAAUUCGUAGAUAUUCGGAGGAACACCAGUGGCGAAGGCGGCUCACUGGUCCAUUACUGACGCUGAGGUGCGAAAGCGUGGGGAGCAAACAGG